Molecule: ribosomal RNA, 396 nt
Filed under: uncultured bacterium
Lineage: Bacteria
Description: partial 16S ribosomal RNA
Rfam family: Bacterial small subunit ribosomal RNA
Source: RNAcentral
CCUACGGGAGGCAGCAGUGAGGAAUAUUGGUCAAUGGGCGCGAGCCUGAACCAGCCAAGUAGCGUGAAGGAUGACUGCCCUACGGGUUGUAAACUUCUUUUAUAAAGGAAUAAAGUGAGGCACGUGUGCCUUUUUGUAUGUACUUUAUGAAUAAGGAUCGGCUAACUCCGUGCCAGCAGCCUCGGUAAUACGGAGGAUCCGGGCGUUAUCCGGAUUUAUUGGGUUUAAAGGGCGCGUCGAUGGGUUGUCAAGUCAGUGGUGAAAUUUUGCGGCUCACCCGGAAAAUUGCAGUUGAUACUGGCAGUCUCGAGUACAGUUGAGGUAGGCGGAAUUCGUGGUGUAGCGGUGAAAUGCUUAGAUAUCACGAAGAACUCCGAUUGCGAAGGCAGCCUACUA